ACCGAAUAAGACCGAGUCUUACGUCAACAGACCAGUUUAGAAUGUGCCGGGCCGUUGUUAUGCAUACCAUAACAAAAAAGGCAGGAAUACUGAGGCAGCUACGACGUGGAUGUCUACAUCUUCUUUAAGAUGCAGGCCCCAAAGACGUCCCAGUGUGAUGCAAAGGCUGUCCAGCAGGCUCACAGACAUCUCCUGUCAACUGAAAGAGAAGCCUUUAAAA
Molecule: long non-coding RNA, 220 nt
Organism: Oryzias latipes (Japanese medaka)
Lineage: Eukaryota; Metazoa; Chordata; Actinopteri; Beloniformes; Adrianichthyidae
Source: RefSeq, a predicted model, not a curated record